This 236-nucleotide ribosomal RNA is filed under the name uncultured bacterium. RNAcentral describes it as "partial 16S ribosomal RNA". It matches the Rfam family "Bacterial small subunit ribosomal RNA", at positions 100 to 334 of the family's 1533-position model. The record is from RNAcentral.
CGGGACGGGUGAGUAACGCGUGGAUAACCUGCCUCACACUGGGGGAUAACAGUUAGAAAUGACUGCUAAUACCGCAUAAGCGCACAGUACCGCAUGGUACAGUGUGAAAAACUCCGGUGGUGUGAGAUGGAUCCGCGUCUGAUUAGCCAGUUGGCGGGGUAACGGCCCACCAAAGCGACGACCAGUAGCCGACCUGAGAGGGUGACCGGCCACAUUGGGACUGAGACACGGCCCAA